GACGGAAGGUGCAAGCGUUGCUCGGAAUCACUGGGCGUAAAGGGUGCGUAGGCGGUUUGUCGCGUCUGCUGUGAAAACCCGAGGCUCAACCUCGGGCCUGCAGUGGGUACGGGCAGACUAGAGUGCGGUAGGGGAGAUUGGAAUUCCUGGUGUAGCGGUGGAAUGCGCAGAUAUCAGGAGGAACACCAAUGGCGAAGGCAGAUCUCUGGGCCGUAACUGACGCUGAGGAGCGAAAGCAUGGGGAGCGAACAGG
RNAcentral lists this ribosomal RNA (253 nucleotides) under uncultured bacterium. Its description in RNAcentral is "partial 16S ribosomal RNA". It matches the Rfam family "Bacterial small subunit ribosomal RNA", at positions 524 to 776 of the family's 1533-position model. The record is from RNAcentral.